Bradysia coprophila is the source of this 1304-nucleotide long non-coding RNA. The record is from RefSeq and is a predicted model, not a curated record. Lineage: Eukaryota; Metazoa; Arthropoda; Insecta; Diptera; Sciaridae.
UGACCUCACUAUCUUUAGAUCAGCGUAGAUACCACUAUCGAACUUAUUUAAAUGCGACUAGACUCUGGCUUAACAAAAUAGUCGUUCUCCUGGUGUCACAUCGUGUUGAACAUAAAUUGUAAUAGUUUAGAGUGAAAAUAAUUGUUCCAAAUUACACCGUUCGUCAUGACAUGCAAUAGUGCAGUAAAAGUGUUGCUGUUGGUGCUGUUGUUUGCUGUUCAAAUCUUUCAAAUUACAACAGAGUUUAAUGCAGAAACUUCUGCAGGAAUAACUGUUCGAGCUGGUGACCCCUAACUACUGCAAUUGAGCUCAAACCCCACUCCAGACGUUCUAGCUGAAAUGGCUUUUACAGAUAACCCACUUCAGUGGCUGGGUCAAAACUCAAUUAGUAGUUUCCCUGUAAAUUGGUACUCAUCACGUAAUCCGCGUACGAGACUGAGUUUAAUCAAUGGCGGAAUAUAUUCGUUCCGGUUCACCAAGGUGGCCGAUAAGAAAUACGUUUACUAUGCCUCAUCGGAGUCAGAUGUUGGUGUCAGAGGCUACUGGUUGAGUACUGCCGAAAAAAUUUCCGUUUUACUCAAUGACGGACCUGCAUUCAUUUUUACCGGUGAACUUCAGGGAUGCUCAAUUCAUACAAGAAUUCUUUUCAAUAGUCGAUUGGAAGUAUUUCAUCGCAACCGACAGUAUCUCUAUCAAAUUUACGUCGAUGGUUACGGAAAUGCCAUAGAUGAAAGGGGUGAUGCAGUAAGAGAAUUGGAAGGUGUCACGAAAUUCUUGGAUAAAGACGGGAAAGAAAUUCAUGUAGUGCCAGAUGGUAAAAUUUCUCUAAAUAACGGCAUUUUAGACAAAAAUGGUCAUCGCGUAACAAAAAUUAAUGGGAUUGAAGUGGAAAAUUUGUUAAACGAUAAUUUAAACAGAGGAACGGACGAGAUGUGUCAAUUCCUCAACUAUGACUUAUCAGGCGGCAAAAGUAUGUGUCUUGGGCCGAAUACAAUGCCAAUCUUCCCGACAACUUUCUCGCAGUCGUUGCUGAUAGCCGUAACGGACCGAAAUUUACAACGCCGUUUCUGUUUCGUAAGAACCACAAGUGGGCGUUUGUAUCGCAACAAAUUCAGUAUAGUGGUUUAGGUGGUACAGGUUCUGGUUUCGGUAGCGACAAGAUGUACGAUUUCCAUUUCACUGGAUACGGUUAUUUUACAGAUUUACAUUAAACAUUGUCCACAUUUCACAUGUUUUUUGCUUCGAUUUGAUUUCUUCUUGAUGUAAUGAGUUAUAUUAGCUCUGUCAGCAGUUGAUUUUAGAAA